This 497-nucleotide ribosomal RNA is filed under the name uncultured bacterium. RNAcentral's name for it is "partial 16S ribosomal RNA". It matches the Rfam family "Bacterial small subunit ribosomal RNA", at positions 28 to 507 of the family's 1533-position model. The record is from RNAcentral.
GAUGAACGCUGGCGGCGUGCCUAAUACAUGCAAGUCGAGCGAACAGACGAGGAGCUUGCUCCUCUGACGUUAGCGGCGGACGGGUGAGUAACACGUGGAUAACCUACCUAUAAGACUGGGAUAACUUCGGGAAACCGGAGCUAAUACCGGAUAAUAUAUUGAACCGCAUGGUUCAAUAGUGAAAGACGGUUUUGCUGUCACUUAUAGAUGGAUCCGCGCCGCAUUAGCUAGUUGGUAAGGUAACGGCUUACCAAGGCAACGAUGCGUAGCCGACCUGAGAGGGGGACGGGCCACCGUGGACGUGAGCCCGGGCCCAGCCCCCAGCGGGAGGAAGAAGGAGGGAUGUUGCCGAAAGGGGGAAAGGCCGGACGGGGCACCGCGGGGGGAUGAAGGAGGUUUUUGGGAUGUAAAAACUUUUUUAUGAGGAAAAAAAAAAUGUGAAAGGAAAUAUGCAGUUUUGCAGGGAACCUAAUAAGAAGCCCAGGGAAAACCAGGUG